Molecule: long non-coding RNA, 996 nt
Organism: Ictalurus punctatus (channel catfish)
Lineage: Eukaryota; Metazoa; Chordata; Actinopteri; Siluriformes; Ictaluridae
Source: Ensembl
AAAAAGAAUCCAGGCAGAAAUGAGUUUAAAAAAAAAUAGUAACUAAUAAAAUUUUUAUAACUGUAGGACUUGGUGGGAUUGGUCGAAAUUCCUUCAGUAGUGGGAUGCAGUGAUCAGAAUACCUUUGGGAGUGGGUGGGAUCAAACCGAAUUCCUUAAGGAGCAGACGGAGAGUAGUGAGAAUUCUUUUGGAUUUGGGUGGGUUUGGUCAAUUCCCUUGGAAGUGGGUGGGAACGGAAAGAUUCCUUCUGAAAUGGGCGGAAAGUGAUCAAAGUGGAAUUCCUUGUGGAAAGGUUGUGUGUUCAGAAUUCCUUGCAAUAUGUGUGAGGGGGGUGUCAGAGUUCCUUGCGGAAUGGAUGAGAGUGGUCAGAAUUCCUUUCGGAAUGGGUUGAGAGGUGUCAGAAUUCCUUCGAGAGUAGGUGCGUAGUGUCAGAAUUCUUUGUAGAAAAGGAUGAGUGGUCAGAAUUCCUUGCAAAAUUGGUGAGAGUGGUCAGAAUUCCUUGCGGAAUGGGUGAGUGAGGACAGAAUUCCUUCGAGAGUAGGUGGGUAGUGUCAGAAUUCCUUUGGGAGAAGGUGAAAGUGGUUCAAAUUUCCUUUAGGAGCAAGUGUGGGUGGUCAUAAACUCCUGUAGGACCGGGUGGGAGUGGGACUUUAAAAAAAAACCCUGCACACCUCUUCUCCAUCGUGCAAAUUUUGCAUCCCUCUGCACCCAAGACUCGCCAUCCAAAGUUGGAAGUAACAUGUAUGAAGUAUGGUGUUUUUCAGAGACUAACCACAUCUACAUUUGGGUUAAAGCUAAAUGUGCAUAAAUGAAAUGUUUAGCUGAAGACUUAGAGUCUUAACAUGCAAUAACUGCCCUCUCCUACUAAAAUACGUCAUUAGAAACACAUGAAAUAUGUUCAUUAGCUUAAAAAUCCUUAAUAUUUGAUACAUAUUUUAACGUACGGAGGCCGCCAUUACGUGACAUGGGCAAUGGUUGCACUCGAGCACUCAAAAG